UGGCAUGGAUGGUUUGUGUAGCCUUAUUCCCAUUGACAUCCCAAACACAUAAGAUUCCAUCGAAAAAUGAACUGCCAUGCUGACUUGUCUCACAGGGAUUCCAUUUAACUGAGCUCACACGAGCGCAAUUUAUCGACUAGUCUGCAGUUUUCUUCAUCGAUGUUCCACAACCUAACAGUUUUGUCUCACGACGCUGUGAUGAAAGUGUCAUCUGUGAGGUUGAAAUCAACGGAGGUGAUGCGGGAUAUAUGUGCGUUGAAGCAUUUGGUUGGGUUAGAAUUAUUCACAUUCCAGAGGAAAGCAGUCCCAUCUUCAGCUGCUAAUAUCAAAGAAUCAUGCAGUUUGGAUGAGCACCAGGAAAGGUCAUUGAUAUCCCCGAUGAUAGCUGAUGAUGUUGCAAGCUGGCCAGUUGAUUGGAAGUCGUUUGUGUUGAUACCAGAAGCAUCUGAAAUUUCUUCUUUGAUAGAUCUUGUGAUAUUAAUCUGAAUUAGCAAACA
Molecule: long non-coding RNA, 497 nt
Organism: Magnolia sinica
Lineage: Eukaryota; Viridiplantae; Streptophyta; Magnoliopsida; Magnoliales; Magnoliaceae
Exons: 2
Source: RefSeq, a predicted model, not a curated record